Molecule: ribosomal RNA, 883 nt
Filed under: Amyloporia subxantha
Lineage: Eukaryota; Fungi; Basidiomycota; Agaricomycetes; Polyporales; Adustoporiaceae
Description: partial large subunit ribosomal RNA
Rfam family: Eukaryotic large subunit ribosomal RNA
Source: RNAcentral
UAGUAACUGCGAGUGAAGCGGGAAAAGCUCAAAUUUAAAAUCUGGUGGUCUCUCUGGCCAUCCGAGUUGUAGUCUGGAGAAGUGCUUUCCGCGUUGGACCGUGUACAAGUCUCUUGGAACAGAGCGUCAUAGAGGGUGAGAAUCCCGUCUUUGACACGGACUACCAAUGCUUUGUGAUGUGCUCUCAAAGAGUCGAGUUGUUUGGGAAUGCAGCUCAAAAUGGGUGGUAAAUUCCAUCUAAAGCUAAAUAUUGGCGAGAGACCGAUAGCGAACAAGUACCGUGAGGGAAAGAUGAAAAGCACUUUGGAAAGAGAGUUAAACAGUACGUGAAAUUGCUGAAAGGGAAACGCUUGAAGUCAGUCGCGUUGGCUGGAACUCAGCCUUGCUUUUUUUGCUAGGUGCAUUUUCUGGUUGACGGGCCAGCAUCAAUUUUGAUUGUUGGAUAAAGGCUGGGGGAAUGUAGCACCUUCGGGUGUGUUAUAGCUCUCGGUCACAUACAACAGUUGGGAUUGAGGAUCUCAGCACGCCUUUAUGGCCGGGGGUUUACCCACGUUCGUGCUUAGGAUGCUGGCAUAAUGGCUUUAAACGACCCGUCUUGAAACACGGACCAAGGAGUCUAACAUGCCUGCGAGUGUUUGGGUGGAAAACCCGAGUGCGUAAUGAAAGUGAAAGUUGGGAUCUCUGUCAUGGAGAGCACUGACGCCCGGUCCUGACCUUCUGUGACGGUUCCGCGGUAGAGCAUGUAUGUUGGGACCCGAAAGAUGGUGAACUAUGCCUGAAUAGGGUGAAGCCAGAGGAAACUCUGGUGGAGGCUCGUAGCGAUUCUGACGUGCAAAUCGAUCGUCAAAUUUGGGUAUAGGGGCGAAAGACUAAUCGAACCAUG